GAUGAACGCUGGCGGCGUGCCUAAUACAUGCAAGUCGAGCGAACGGACGAGAAGCUUGCUUCUCUGAUGUUAGCGGCGGACGGGUGAGUAACACGUGGAUAACCUACCUAUAAGACUGGGAUAACUUCGGGAAACCGUAGCUAAUACCGGAUAAUAUUUUGAACCGCAUGGUUCAAAAGUGAAAGACGGUCUUGCUGUCACUUAUAGAUGGAUCCGCGCUGCAUUAGCUAGUUGGUAAGGUAACGGCUUACCAAGGCAACGAUGCAUAGCCGACCUGAGAGGGUGACGGGCCACACGGGAACGGAGAACCGGCCCAAAACCCUAGGGGGGGCAGCAGGAGGGAAUUUUCCGAAAGGGGCGAAAGCCUGACGGAGCAACGCCGGGUGGGGUAUGAAGGUCUUCGGAUCUUAAAACCUUUUUAUUGGGGAAAAAAAUAUGUGUAAGUAACUGUGCACAUUUUGACGGUACCUAAUCAGAAAGCCACGGCUAACUACGU
RNAcentral lists this ribosomal RNA (496 nucleotides) under uncultured bacterium. Its description in RNAcentral is "partial 16S ribosomal RNA". It matches the Rfam family "Bacterial small subunit ribosomal RNA", at positions 28 to 506 of the family's 1533-position model. The record is from RNAcentral.